RNAcentral lists this long non-coding RNA (524 nucleotides) under Daucus carota (carrot). RNAcentral's name for it is "long non-coding RNA (DCAR_LNC001876)". Lineage: Eukaryota; Viridiplantae; Streptophyta; Magnoliopsida; Apiales; Apiaceae. The record is from RNAcentral.
AUGGCGGCACAUCACAGAUCACUGGACAAUAGCCAAACAAGCUCAAGUCAUUAAUGUUUGAAAUUUUCAAUAUAUUUCAUGUUUUUUAAAUAUGAAUCCAUUACUAUGCAUGCUUAAACAAAUCCAGUCAUUAACCAAAGAAAUCAUAACAGCAAUGAUCUUUACAGCUAACAAGAGAAAAUAAGAUACUAAAUUAGCAAUAGUGUCCAGUAUAGUUCCAGAAGCUGUAUUAGAUUGCUCAUGAAUCUUGGCAGCAAAGUGUAAAGUAGUACAAAAUUUCUCAUUUUUUCCACUUUAUAUAUACGUGCAUCGAAUAUGAAGACUUUAAUCAGUUCCAAAAAAGAGAGUUCUUUUUCUUAACAUCAAAAGCUGGAAAAAAGAUAGAAUAACUUGACUUUGUAACAUAUAUGGUUAAACUUCUACGUUAGAUCUAUUGUAUACUUAAACUUCAUUGUUAUAAAGUAAACAUAUUAUGGUGAUAAACAUACCCAAAAAUACUCUAAAUAUAUGAGUCACAUUCUACG